RNAcentral lists this unclassified non-coding RNA (337 nucleotides) under soil metagenome. RNAcentral describes it as "partial contains 5.8S ribosomal RNA, internal transcribed spacer 2, and large subunit ribosomal RNA". The stretch from base 1 to 120 matches the Rfam family "5.8S ribosomal RNA", at positions 35 to 154 of the family's 154-position model. The record is from RNAcentral.
GAUGAAGAACGCAGCGAAAUGCGAUAAGUAGUGUGAAUUGCAGAAUUCAGUGAAUCAUCGAAUCUUUGAACGCACAUUGCGCCCCUUGGUAUUCCAUGGGGCAUGCCUGUUCGAGCGUCAUUUGUACCCUCAAGCUUUGCUUGGUGUUGGGUGUUUGUCCCGCGUUGCGCGUGGACUCGCCUUAAAGCGAUUGGCAUCCGGCAUAUUGGCCUUGGAGCGCAGCACAUUUUGCGCUUCUAGUCAUGAAUGUUGGCGUCCAUUAAGCCUAUACAUUUGCUCUUGACCUCGGAUCAGGUAGGGAUACCCGCUGAACUUAAGCAUAUCAAUAAGCGGAGGA